This 496-nucleotide ribosomal RNA is filed under the name Hormonotus modestus (Uganda house snake). RNAcentral's name for it is "partial 16S ribosomal RNA". It matches the Rfam family "Bacterial large subunit ribosomal RNA", at positions 1842 to 2597 of the family's 2925-position model. Lineage: Eukaryota; Metazoa; Chordata; Lepidosauria; Squamata; Lamprophiidae. The record is from RNAcentral.
AAUAUUAAAGGCAAUGCCUGCCCAGUGAAUAAUUAAACGGCCGCGGUACCAUAACCGUGCAAAGGUAGCGUAAUCACCUGUCUAUUAAUUGUAGACCUGUAUGAACGGCGAAAUGAGGGCCUAACUGUCUCUUGUAAUAAAUCAAUAAAACUGAUCUCCCAGUUCAAAAGCUGGGAUAUCACCAUAAGACCAGAAGACCCUGUGAAGCUUAAACUAAAUUAUUAAAAUAUAUAAUAAAUACUUUCGGUUGGGGCGACCUUGGAAACAAAAAGAACUUCCAAAUAUUAUGACUUAAACCAUACCAAACCUAUAGGCCAACAAGCCAAAAUUAGAUCCAGUACAACUGAUCAAUGAACCAAGUUACUCCAGGGAUAACAGCGCUAUCUUCUUCAAGAGCCCAUAUCAAAAAGAAGGUUUACGACCUCGAUGUUGGAUCAGGACAUCCAAAUGGUGCAGCCGCUAUUAAAGGUUCGUUUGUUCAACGAUUAACAGUCCU